Molecule: ribosomal RNA, 556 nt
Filed under: uncultured bacterium
Lineage: Bacteria
Description: bacterial SSU rRNA
Rfam family: Bacterial small subunit ribosomal RNA
Source: RNAcentral
GAUACGCGAGGAACCUUACCUGGGCUAGAAUGCGGUUUGACCGCCGGUGAAAGCCGGUUUUGUAGCAAUACACAGAUCGUAAGGUGCUGCAUGGCUGUCGUCAGCUCGUGCCGUGAGGUGUUGGGUUAAGUCCCGCAACGAGCGCAACCCUUGCCCUGUGUUGCCAGCAUUAAGUUGGGCACUCUCAGGGGACCGCCAGCGAUAAGCUGGAGGAAGGUGGGGAUGACGUCAAGUCAGCAUGGCCUUUAUGUCCAGGGCUACACACGUGCUACAAUGGCCGGUACAACGCGACGCCAACCCGCGAGGGGGAGCAAAUCGCAAAAAACCGGUCUCAGUUCGGAUCGCAGGCUGCAAUUCGCCUGCGUGAAGCUGGAAUCGCUAGUAAUGCCGCAUCAGCAUGGCGGCGUGAAUACGUUCCCGGGCCUUGUACACACCGCCCGUCACAUCACGAAAGUGGGUUGUACUAGAAGUCCGCGUGCUAACCGCAAGGAGGCAGCGGCCCAAGGUAUGACUCAUGAUUGGGGUGAAGUCGUAACAAGGUAGCCGUAGGAGAACC